CGCCAGGCGGAUCCGCGGCGGCGACAACCGGAGGCGACGAGGACCAAAAUCCAGGUCGGUGCAUCUUCCCCUCGCUUUUCUCUCGCCACAAAGGGCGUGCUGCUGGCGGGCGUGCAGGGCGAGCUGUGGCGCCUGAGCGACGGCGCUGGGAAGGUGGCCGGCAUGAUCGGGUGGCUGCCGGAGAAGGCCGUCACGUUCGUGGACAACCACGACACCGGGUCGACGCAGGGGCUGUGGCCGUUCCUGGCCGACAAGGUCAUGCAGGGCUACGCCUACAUCCUCACACACCCAGGGGCUCCCCUGCAUCGUAAGCAUCAUCUCUCCCUUUACAUAAGGCUCUCUCAAUGCAGUUCUACCACCACAUGUUUUCUCAUAUUUGUUUAUGCAGAUUUGGUUUCUUUACACCUACAAGGUGUUUGAUGAAAUUUCAAGGAGGCUAGGGAGGAUUGAUCUAUGUAGGCCAUGUGAUUUGGUUUCUCUACGCCUGCAAGGUCUUCAAAAGUAUUAGUUACAGUCAACCAUGAUGUGUGACUGCUAUUGGGAAUUAGUUUUGCCUAUAGCAAGGAUAACAUAAUAUAAGCUUGAAGUUAGUUAUGUCAUGCAGAUGUAUAUUGCUUACUCCACUUCUUCUAACAUGAUUGAUGUGUUUUUGUUGAAGGCCAUAAGCUUGCUUUUGAGUAUGUUGUUCAGUUCCGGAGCUAUAGGAUUUCUUGAAAAAAACACUAUUCAGAUUAUUGUGCAUGUGUGAUGGAGUUAAUGAAAAAGGCAGCCUUGCAGUGUAGUUGACCGUUUCACUGCUGAAAUUAGUCUUGAACAUAAUGAUGGAGGUCUUUGAACUGAAAUUCUGUUAAGCUGUUUUCACAUGUCUAUGUUUUAAGAUAGCUGCAUAAAUGUUAUUGUGUGCUGGUAAAUUUUCUUUAGGUGAAAAUAACAGGCUAAGAAAAUUCUGUUAUUGAAUAUAUUCCUAAAUGCAUCGUGCGCUCCUUUGCUUUAUUUUCAUUCUCCCUUGAAGGCCUGCACUACUUGCUUAUUUAACUGUUAUUUUGGUGAUAGAGAAUGAUGCCCUGCCUCUCUUACUCGAGUUUUGAGAUUUACGUUUAAUCUCUUCUAUAACUCUUUCCUCCUAUUUCACCCUGACCGUCAGAUGCGAUUGUUUCUUUUUCACCUGCUGGUUGUCUAGAUGGGCCAGUGACUUAAUUGACUGCUGCUACUGUAUUUUACAAUUGAAAUUCCUUUUUCUAGCUCUAAUUGCCUGCUCCUGCUGGAUUUAAUGUGUUACAUGUCUUAGUUCUUGAUGUAUAUGUAUGGUUUCUUGCCUGGCCUCAGAAGAUCCACUUACAAGGUGGUUUCCUACUUUUUAUUCAAAUCACACUGUUGUUGAUUUUCUUGACAUAUCUUAUUAUUCUUGCCUUCCAUAAGUGCAUCCAUCGUGUUAAAUUUAAGACAUUCCUUUCUUCCCCACUUUCAUGUUAGUUACUUCUUUUUACACAAUAUCUAUGCCAGUUUGACUUAUGAAUAAUCACAUCAGUUCUUUGGAUCUGGUGGACUUGAAUAAUUAGCUCUCACCUUUAGAUUGAGAAUAUCCAGUAUAGAGGAUUAGUUUCAUGGUUUCAAAAUCUGAGAUUGACGGAUCUGCUCUUAAUAUUAAUGCUUAGAUGCACCAGUGAAUUCAGUUUCUUUCCGUGCUCUUAAUAUUCAGGUGUUUAGCUAUGAAAGAUGAUGAUUAUGGAGCUAUUUCCUUUCUACACUUCCUGUCUUGUUUACUUGGAGCUGUUUUACCAUCUUUUGGAUCUAUUUCUGAUGCCUACCUCGCGUUGUGUUUAUGUUUGACUUUACCCACCCUUAUUAUUUGUCGUGCCUACUCUAGAGCCCGUUGCAGCACCAAAUCUCUUUUGUGGAAAAAGUGCAGAAGUGAUACUGAAUUUGCCUUUCUACUAUAACGUUUUACAUGUUUCUGGUUAUAUCAUUUCGGCAACACUGAUAGGAUUGUCACGUAAAUACUUCCAGGUUUAGUACGUAGAGGCUGAACAUGUACUAAAUAUGCUUUUAGCACUAAGCUGUUGUUGAUUGUCACCUUACUCAGUUUUCUAGAAAUUGCCUGCAGGAAGGAACAAUAUGUGAUGCUGAUCUUGUGAUUAGUGUUGCUGGUGAUGUCAUACUUGCAUGGGCUAACCAUUUGUUCGAUAACUUGAUUCCCAUUGUAAGGUGUUAAGUCUGGAUCGUAUUUGUUCUGAUGAGGGUGUGGUGCGGUUUUCAGAGUUCCAAUCCUGAGGAUUUCGUACCAGUAAUAUUGCAGUGUGGUCCAGAGCAAAGGUUGAAUGGAGUGCUGAGGACUUUUGGAGGGUGGCCAGUAGGAUGAGUUGGAUCUGUUCUUCGUAGCAAAGGUGAUGUCGUUGCAGAUAGGUACCUGAAGCAAAGCAUGCAAUAGCUCGUUUAUCCCUGUUUACCUUGGCACCGGAUUGAUGGACCUCUAUAUACGCAUGGAAAUAAAUAAGUAUGUAUUCUACGGAUAAUAUUUGUGUUGUAUGCAUCUCAAAUUGGCCUGGGAUGGCAAUGCGAGGUUGAACUCUCUCGUUAUCUACCUCGCCUUUCUAAACUUGUUUUGCUGCUAGCUUGAGAGUAUAACAGUGGAUAAUCACCAUUAGCACAAUGGGACAAGAACUCAUGAUGAAGCCGACAUAAUUCGCUAGGAUAAUCACCAUUUGAAAAAAAGGGUGUAUGCAUAAGAAGAAUCAGAUUAGCAACAGUACCUUAGUUAGGCAUGGAGGUUCUGCUCGACAAGCUCUUUGUGCCCAAGCUCGAAAGUGUUUUCUAUUGCAACCAGGUCCGUGUUCUUUGCCAUAGCUGCCUCACUUAAAACAGCAAUUGUCACUCAACAGCAAGUCUCCACAACCGUAGAAAGGGGGCAGCAGGGCUCACGAUGCAAGUAUUCAAUUCUGUAUAUGGAUAAGGCCGCACCACAAAAGAUUCACUUUGAGGGUGGAGAAGGGUGAACUGUUGAUCCAUACAUUGUCCCCAAAGUUAUUUACUGGCUGCAAUUUUAUUUUGUAGUUAUAUUUGCAAAUUUUUGUGGCGGGCAACAUAUGAGAGGCUGCUGACAACAAGAAUCAAGUUGGUCCAUGUUUUAUUUAAAUGCAUUUGACACUGUUGUCAUACUAAGAACAAAAUCAUUUUUCAUGACAUAGUUGUCAUGCAAACGUCCUCGGUGGUGGUAAAUAAGCUGUGGAGCAGUUUUGAUUGAUCUGGGUAUUUCUAUGCUCAUUGUAUUAUUGGAACUGAAUUGUGUGGGGGCAUUGUUGAUGCAUUUUGA
Non-coding RNA from Lolium perenne, 3310 nucleotides. Lineage: Eukaryota; Viridiplantae; Streptophyta; Magnoliopsida; Poales; Poaceae. The record is from RefSeq and is a predicted model, not a curated record.